Molecule: ribosomal RNA, 392 nt
Filed under: uncultured bacterium
Lineage: Bacteria
Description: partial 16S ribosomal RNA
Rfam family: Bacterial small subunit ribosomal RNA
Source: RNAcentral
AUACGGAGGAUCCGAGCGUUAUCCGGAUUUAUUGGGUUUAAAGGGAGCGUAGGCGGACGCUUAAGUCAGUUGUGAAAGUUUGCGGCUCAACCGUAAAAUUGCAGUUGAUACUGGGUGUCUUGAGUACAGUAGAGGCAGGCGGAAUUCGUGGUGUAGCGGUGAAAUGCUUAGAUAUCACGAAGAACUCCGAUUGCGAAGGCAGCCUGCUGGACUGUAACUGACGCUGAUGCUCGAAAGUGUGGGUAUCAAACAGGAUUAGAUACCCUGGUAGUCCACACAGUAAACGAUGAAUACUCGCUGUUUGCGAUAUACAGUAAGCGGCCAAGCGAAAGCGUUAAGUAUUCCACCUGGGGAGUACGCCGGCAACGGUGAAACUCAAAUGAAUUGGCGGG